UCGGGAACCGUGAGACAGGUGCUGCAUGGCUGUCGUCAGCUCGUGUUGUGAAAUGUUGGGUUAAGUCCCGCAACGAGCGCAACCCUUAUCCUUUGUUGCCAGCGGUUAGGCCGGGAACUCAAAGGAGACUGCCAGUGAUAAACUGGAGGAAGGUGGGGAUGACGUCAAGUCAUCAUGGCCCUUACGACCAGGGCUACACACGUGCUACAAUGGCGCAUACAAAGAGAAGCGACCUCGCGAGAGCAAGCGGACCUCAUAAAGUGCGUCGUAGUCCGGAUUGGAGUCUGCAACUCGACUCCAUGAAGUCGGAAUCGCUAGUAAUCGUGGAUCAGAAUGCCACGGUGAAUACGUUCCCGGGCCUUGUACACACCGCCCGUCACACCAUGGGAGUGGGUUGCAAAAGAAGUAGGUAGCUUAACCUUCGGGAGGGCGCUUACCACUUUGUGAUUCAUGACUGGGGUGAAGUCGUAACAAGGUAACCGUAGGGGAACCUGC
RNAcentral lists this ribosomal RNA (495 nucleotides) under Salmonella enterica subsp. enterica serovar Cerro. RNAcentral's name for it is "bacterial SSU rRNA". It matches the Rfam family "Bacterial small subunit ribosomal RNA", at positions 1020 to 1515 of the family's 1533-position model. Lineage: Bacteria; Pseudomonadati; Pseudomonadota; Gammaproteobacteria; Enterobacterales; Enterobacteriaceae. The record is from RNAcentral.